AGAUGAGGGAGAUGGGGGAAAGAAUGGCCCUGUCCUCAGCCUCCAAGACUCCCCUUUGCUCCAGCUCUGGCCCGCCACCCUAAGGCUAGUCUCCUAGGCUCCUCAGCCAGCAGGUACCCGGUGGCGAGCCCCGCGACGCGUCGCAGGCAGCUCCACGCUCGCUCGCUCCAGCCCCCGCCCCCCUGCUCUUGCGCCCCGCCAGCGCCGCUCCGCCAGCCGCUUGGCGCACCUAGCCUUAAAGCCUGAGCCAGCUACUCAGAAGUCCUGUUGAGAAUGACCCUCACCCAUCUGGCCUUCUAUCUGCUCAGGGGAAUGCUGAUGCUGUGUGGAAGCUUCCAGCUGUGCUUCUCCAGUUAAAGCCAAGGCCAUCCUCUUACUGCAAGACUUCAGAGGCUCUGCUCCAUGAGGUCGUGAAAGGCACCAGGAUCAUCACCAUGCAGCUGUUCUAUGAUGCCCAAGGUCCACCUGUGGCCAUUUCCCAGCUAUGGAAAGGGGUCGGAGGAAGAGAGAACAGUGGCCACUACUCAGCACUGCCGAUGGCAUGGUGUUGCUUCUUUAGUACCCAUGGCAUUAGUCACAAUGCUCAGACCCAGCUUCCAAGGAGGCUGAUGGAUGCCCUCCCUGGUUUGAGGCUCAUUAGCCUACUUUCCAUCACUGUGACAUGUUACCAAAGCUGGGCAACUCUGUCGGGAAAAGAGGCUCCUUAGCUCUCAGUUAUACGGGCUCAAGGACCACAUGACCUUCUUGCUGAAAGAGUCCUGAGGUGGUGCAGGGUGUGGGAUGUUGGGUGACAGGCACUGUAUGAUUGAGUGUUCUGCUCUGUCCCUCUUAUAAAGCCACUAGGAUUCAACUGUGAGGCUCUAUUCUGAUCACUGUAGCUAAUCCCACCUACUCUUAAAUACCACAGUGGAGUAAGAUUCCCCCUUUACUAUUCACAGAGGGAUUCAGCUCCAACACCAGAAGCCCCAGAGGCCCAGAGCCUCUCCCAAGCACUCUGCUGAUGCUGUGGGGUAAGUGGGUCUUGCUGGCAAACAGAAAUGAGGUGGGCAUUGAGGAACACAUAGUCAAGCUGUAAAAACUCAGGUCCCCGUUCCCAUGCCCGCCACUUCCCACUCGAUGCUCAGCUUGCCAGGCUCUUUCCCCGUCCUUUGGGCUACAAUUCUUUGAGAAUGGGAUCUGAUCUGAUCUCAGAAGUCCACAUCUGGUCAGUCAGUUAGUGCCAACCGACUGAGCAGUUGUGGCCUUCUAUGUCCUGGGGACCUGGGUGGGAAGGCCUACCCACACCUUGCUCUUGGACUAAUAUGACUCAUUGGCUGCUGAUCUCACUUAGAUCACAAGGACUCUGAACUGGGUGCAGCUUAGGUCUCAACAGACCCUCCUCCAGAGGUCUUCUCACGGGCCAUCAUGUACCCUUUCCACUUCUCCGAGAGUAUAUCCUAGGCCCCCCUAACAAAUUUCCUGGACACCUCUGGCUUAGACCUCCUCACUAAAACCAGCAUCUUUGGCUGCUUGACUUCUGCUCCCAUCUUCCAAACAUGCUAGCACUUUCAGUACCCAAACUCAGUUCCUUGGAGAACAUGCUACAUAGAGAAUAUGCUGCACACAGAAUGUGCUCCACGGAGUGCAUGUCAAGACUCACUGAAAGCAGAGCCUGGGACAAGACUUUGGAGAAAAUCCUUCACCUGGGAGGUAAUCCCAGAAGUCAGGACUGAGAGAGGAGGAACAGAGAGAUGAUGAUGGAAAUUCUUUCCAUAGGGGUUCCUGAGGGCUCACUGAAGGGAUGGGGUGCUCUCAGAACAAUAGGCUAUUUCUAGAAUUGCCUCCAUCAGGAAGGAGGGUUGGCGACCUGCCUUCUCUUCUAGGUAGAGGUUGCUUGUGGGAAGGGAUCUGCUUCCCUGCAGAGGGUUGCUUCAGGCAGUCAGGGAGGAGCUCUCCAGCCUGCCCAUGGCUCAAAGACAAACAGACUCGCAAGUCCACACUGGGAAGGGAUAUCUGUCAGGUUCAAUUCUCUAUAAUUUACGCCAUGGGGAGGGGUUCACGUUCAUUUUCUAUAUGAAAUAUAACUUCAUACAAUUCUA
Non-coding RNA from Peromyscus maniculatus bairdii (prairie deer mouse), 2078 nucleotides. The record is from RefSeq and is a predicted model, not a curated record. Lineage: Eukaryota; Metazoa; Chordata; Mammalia; Rodentia; Cricetidae.